RNAcentral lists this ribosomal RNA (292 nucleotides) under uncultured bacterium. RNAcentral describes it as "partial 16S ribosomal RNA". It matches the Rfam family "Bacterial small subunit ribosomal RNA", at positions 505 to 796 of the family's 1533-position model. The record is from RNAcentral.
GUGUCAGCAGCCGCGGUAAUACAGAGGGUGCAAGCGUUAAUCGGAUUUACUGGGCGUAAAGCGUGCGUAGGAGGCCGCGUAAGUCGAUUGUGAAAUCCCUGGGCUCAACCUGGGAAUUGCUUUCGAUACUGCGUGGCUAGAGUUCGGUAGAGGGUGGCGGAACUCCCGGUGUAGCGGUGAAAUGCGUAGAUAUCGGGAAGAACACCGAUGGCGAAGGCAACCACCUGGGCCUGAACUGACUCUGAGGCACGAAAGCGUGGGGAGCAAACAGGAUUAGAUACCCUCGUAGUCC